This 253-nucleotide ribosomal RNA is filed under the name uncultured bacterium. RNAcentral describes it as "partial 16S ribosomal RNA". It matches the Rfam family "Bacterial small subunit ribosomal RNA", at positions 524 to 776 of the family's 1533-position model. The record is from RNAcentral.
UACGAGAGGCCCGAACGUUAUUCGGAAUUACUGGGCUUAAAGAGUUCGUAGGCGGCGCAGAAAGUAGGGUGUGAAAGCCCUCGGCUCAACCGAGGAAUUGCGCUCUAAACUACUGUGCUUGAGGAAUCUAGAGGUGAGCGGAACUGAUGGUGGAGCGGUGAAAUGCGUUGAUAUCAUCAGGAACACCGGAGGCGAAGGCGGCUCACUGGGGAUUUUCUGACGCUGAGGAACGAAAGCUAGGGUAGCGAACGGG